AAUUUUAUUCUCUAUUUGGGAAUUCACAAUUUUGCAUAUAAUACCACAUUUUCUGGGUUUUUUUCUCAGACUGUUCUAAUUUAAAGCAUUGUAUCUAUUCUCCACAAGUAUAAUCAUGAUUGAUAGGCUAUGUGUUCUGGUUGUUUCAGGUUAGUAAUUGAGCUGAAUUUCUACAUCUUAAUCCUAUUUAAGGAGGCUAAGUAGAUAUCUUCUGAAUAGGCAUUAUACACUUACAGUGAGAAAAUGAAUACUAGUCCUUACAUUGUAAAGUAGAAACCCAGCUAAGAUCUCUUGUUUUGUUUUGGUUGGUUUUUCUAAGUUCCCUUUCCCCAAAUUCUUGUGAACAACAUCGUGCUCUCCCUUCCUUAAGCGACAUGUUCAAAUGUCACAUUCCUCAUUAAGUCUUUCUCAGUUCCUACAGCUAGACUGUCUCCAGCACCAGAGUGUCCAUGUCUUCUGCACUUCUCAGAGUGACCGUAUAACUAACUACACAUGUUCACUACCCACAAUCGCAAGAAACACAAGAGGGCAAACACAAGAAGGAUAUGCGAAGAGGACUCCAUAUUUCAGAAUAAAUGACUGUUGUAAAGUUAAACGAAAAUGAAAUUAAUGAUUCAGGGCACCACCACUGCUGUUCAAACCAUGACUGGUGUCCAGCUUGUUGGUAGACAAGAACGUGUGCUGGCACAGGUGGAGUUCAUGAGGAGCAGAAACGCAAGACAAGGUGUCUCAUGCCCAGGGAGCAUCAGUGGCCGUUUUCUUUCUCAUGAAAGGGACUGAUUUGGGAUGGAUUCUUUAACCUUUUGGAGAGAGCUUGUAAACUAUCAAAAAAGAAUGAAAACAAGACACCCUUACCCCACUGGUUUGUUAUGAUUCUAAGACAUAAUAACAUGGUUUACAAAUAAACAAUGUACAAACAGUAGACAUAAUUUAAAUAACAACAAGCACAUGGAAUUACUCUCUUAUUCAUAAAAAGAGUCAAGGUCAGUGCAGAAGCAAAAGACAGGAAGGAAAGGUUGUCUUGUUGCUUUCUAAUCAAAUACCCACUUUCACCAUAAUCACAAGUCUCCCUGGCACCCAGGAGGUGGAGGUAGGAGGACAGCCACAGUUUGAGGCCAGCCUACACUGCAUAGUGAAUUCCAGCCCCGUCUCAAAAAAACCUAAAUAAAUAAAUAAACAGAAGUAUUUGUUUCAUGAGGAAGUUUUUCGGUAUCUUUUCUUCCAAAGCCAAAUUACUAACGACAAAUGAACUCACCAACGCAAUUGAUUGAGGUAAACCCCAGCAUGCCAAUUUAGCCUUUCUGGAAUGCUAACAGUAGAGUGAAAAAUUAGGAAAGUAGCUAAAACUUUUACCUUUUUUUUUUUUUUUUCUUUCUGAAAAGAAACUGCUCAACUCAAAAUUUUGCUAAAGGAAUUGAUCUUACAUUAUUUCCCAUAAACCCACCAUGGGGACUGACGGACUGUGGAUUACAAGGAUACACAGACAUGAAAUCCAUGUCCUAGAGCAUUGUUAACACAGUGCAUAAUUCUCAGCAACUCCCAAGUGACUUUUUCUGACAGCUAUUCCAUGUGAAACAAUGAAAACUAUAUCCAUGCUUAUUUGUGUUUUCUGGUAGCCUUUAAAUGCAAUAGUGAAGAUUAAAGGGCCAGAGCCCUCUUAUGAUUAUUCAUAAUUUUUUAAAAAAUCAUCUUAUUGUAUUCAAAAUACGUAUUUAAUGUAACUCAAAUACAUUUUAGGGUCUGUCUAUUUGUGCAUUUGUUCACUGAGCACAUAUUUAUCAGGUACCUCUUGGAUACCAUUCUCACUGCUAGACACUAACAGGCAUAAAAAAUGAAUAAGAUUCAGUCCCCAUCUUCAAGGAACUAAUGAUUUAGUAGGGGAGUAAGAUAUGUACAAAGACAACUGUAAUACAAAAGAGAAUAUAAUAAAUACUUUUUAAAGGCUCAGACAAAAUCUUGUGAGUGGUGCACAUCCAAUCAGAAAUGAGAAAGUGUCACAGAGAUGACAUCAUUCAACACCAGGGAUUGAAUGAUAUACAGUGAAUAUGAACCUAUGGCAUAUGUGUUAUUUUUUUUCCUUUUAAGACAAAAACUGUUAAUGUAUGAGUUAUGU
This is a long non-coding RNA of Chinchilla lanigera (long-tailed chinchilla), 2113 nucleotides long. Lineage: Eukaryota; Metazoa; Chordata; Mammalia; Rodentia; Chinchillidae. The record is from Ensembl.